Molecule: long non-coding RNA, 220 nt
Organism: Pseudopipra pipra
Lineage: Eukaryota; Metazoa; Chordata; Aves; Passeriformes; Pipridae
Exons: 2
Source: RefSeq, a predicted model, not a curated record
CCCUGUGAGGGCGAGGGCGCGGCGGCGGCGGCUUUUCUCAGCACCUCAAGGGCCUUAGAAUGGCGACGGGCGAGCCGCGAGGAGGGUUCCUUCUUAAAGGAGAAGUUGGAGGAAAUUCUGUUAUUGGAAGUCUUGUGACUGUAUGAGGACAGUGCUGGAGUACUGCCAUGGUACUUUGACACAUUAUCAUCCUAGUAAAUGACCCAAGUGUUGAAAUUCA